Molecule: ribosomal RNA, 378 nt
Filed under: uncultured bacterium
Lineage: Bacteria
Description: bacterial SSU rRNA
Rfam family: Bacterial small subunit ribosomal RNA
Source: RNAcentral
UAAUACGGAGGGCGCGAGCGUUGUCCGGAAUCACUGGGCGUAAAGGGCGCGUAGGCGGCCCUGGUAAGUCUGCGGUGAAAGCCCGGGGCUCAACCCCGGGUCGGCCGCGGGUACUGCCGGGCUGGAGCACUGUAGGGGCGGGCGGAAUUCCGGGUGUAGCGGUGGAAUGCGUAGAGAUCCGGAAGAACACCGGUGGCGAAGGCGGCCCGCUGGGCAGUGGCUGACGCUGAGGCGCGACAGCGUGGGGAGCAAACAGGAUUAGAUACCCUGGUAGUCCACGCCGUAAACGAUGGGCACUAGGUGCCUGGGGGAGCGACCCCCCGGGUGCCGGCGCUAACGCAUUAAGUGCCCCGCCUGGGGAGUACGGCCGCAAGGCUG